CGGCGGACGGGUGAGUAACACGUGGAUAACCUACCUAUAAGACUGGGAUAACUUCGGGAAACCGGAGCUAAUACCGGAUAAUAUAUUGAACCGCAUGGUUCAAUGGUGAAAGACGGUUUUGCUGUCACUUAUAGAUGGAUCCGCGCCGCAUUAGCUAGUUGGUAAGGUAACGGCUUACCAAGGCAACGAUGCGUAGCCGACCUGAGAGGGUGAUCGGCCACACUGGAACUGAGACACGGUCCAGACUCCUACGGGAGGCAGCAGC
RNAcentral lists this ribosomal RNA (265 nucleotides) under uncultured Staphylococcus sp. RNAcentral's name for it is "partial 16S ribosomal RNA". It matches the Rfam family "Bacterial small subunit ribosomal RNA", at positions 96 to 355 of the family's 1533-position model. The record is from RNAcentral. Lineage: Bacteria; Bacillati; Bacillota; Bacilli; Caryophanales; Staphylococcaceae.